Molecule: ribosomal RNA, 491 nt
Filed under: uncultured bacterium
Lineage: Bacteria
Description: partial 16S ribosomal RNA
Rfam family: Bacterial small subunit ribosomal RNA
Source: RNAcentral
AUUGAACGCUGGCGGCAUGCCUUACACAUGCAAGUCGAACGGUAACAGGUUAAGCUGACGAGUGGCGAACGGGUGAGUAAUGUAUCGGAACGUGCCCAGUCGUGGGGGAUAACUGCUCGAAAGAGCGGCUAAUACCGCAUACGACCUGAGGGUGAAAGCGGGGGAUCGCAAGACCUCGCGCGAUUGGAGCGGCCGAUAUCAGAUUAGGUAGUUGGUGAGGUAAAGGCUCACCAAGCCGACGAUCUGUAGAUGGUCUGAGAGGACGACCAGCCACUGGGACUGAGACACGGCCCAGACUCCUACGGGAGGCAGCAGUGGGGAAUUUUGGACAAUGGGCGCAAGCCUGAUCCAGCCAUGCCGCGUGCGGGAAGAAGGCCUUCGGGUUGUAAACCGCUUUUGUCAGAGAAGAAAAGGUUCUGGCUAAUACCUGGGACUCAUGACGGUACCUGAAGAAUAAGCACCGGCUAACUACGUGCCAGCCGCCGCAGUAA